RNAcentral lists this transfer RNA (73 nucleotides) under Ixodes scapularis (black-legged tick). RNAcentral's name for it is "tRNA-Ser for anticodon GGA". The record is from RNAcentral. Lineage: Eukaryota; Metazoa; Arthropoda; Arachnida; Ixodida; Ixodidae.
CCCUGGUUAGCUCAGCUGGGAGAGCGCUCCACAGGAAAUUGUGUGGUCCCGGGUUCGCAACGCGGACCAGGCG